RNAcentral lists this ribosomal RNA (301 nucleotides) under uncultured bacterium. Its description in RNAcentral is "partial 16S ribosomal RNA". It matches the Rfam family "Bacterial small subunit ribosomal RNA", at positions 509 to 807 of the family's 1533-position model. The record is from RNAcentral.
CAGCCGCCGCGGUAAUACGAAGGUCCCGAGCGUUGUUCGGAAUUACUGGGUGUAAAGGGAGCGUAGGCGGCGUGGUAAGUCAGAUGUGAAAUCCCGGGGCUCAACCCCGGAACUGCAUCCGAUACUGCCAUGCUAGCGGAUUGGAGAGGUAGCUGGAAUUCUUGGUGUAGCAGUGAAAUGCGUGGAGAUCAAGAGGAACACUCGUGGCGAAAGCGAGCUACUGGACAAUAACUGACGCUGAGGCUCGAAGGCCAGGGUAGCGAAAGGGAUUAGAUACCCGCGUAGUCCCUGUCUCUUAUAC